UACGGGGGGAGCAAGCGUUGUUCGGAUUUACUGGGCGUAAAGGGCGCGUAGGCGGCCACCGCAAGUCGACUGUGAAAUCUCCGGGCUUAACCCGGAAAGGUCAGCCGAUACUGCGGGGCUAGAGUGCAGAAGGGGCAACUGGAAUUCUCGGUGUAGCGGUGAAAUGCGUAGAUAUCGAGAGGAACACCUGCGGCGAAGGCGGGUUGCUGGGCUGACACUGACGCUGAGGCACGAAAGCGUGGGGAGCAAACAGG
RNAcentral lists this ribosomal RNA (254 nucleotides) under uncultured bacterium. RNAcentral describes it as "partial 16S ribosomal RNA". It matches the Rfam family "Bacterial small subunit ribosomal RNA", at positions 524 to 776 of the family's 1533-position model. The record is from RNAcentral.